AGUAAGUUAGGUUAAGUAUAGACUGUUCGUUUUCAAAACGGGAGGUGGUUUUUUGGCCAUUUAUUG
This 66-nucleotide transfer RNA is filed under the name Haematoloechus sp. CW13H. RNAcentral's name for it is "tRNA-Trp". Lineage: Eukaryota; Metazoa; Platyhelminthes; Trematoda; Plagiorchiida; Haematoloechidae. The record is from RNAcentral.